RNAcentral lists this ribosomal RNA (425 nucleotides) under uncultured Methanolinea sp. RNAcentral's name for it is "bacterial SSU rRNA". It matches the Rfam family "Archaeal small subunit ribosomal RNA", at positions 913 to 1338 of the family's 1478-position model. The record is from RNAcentral. Lineage: Archaea; Methanobacteriati; Methanobacteriota; Methanomicrobia; Methanomicrobiales; Methanoregulaceae.
CAACGCCGGGCAGCUCACCGAUAAGACAGCUGGAUGAUAGCCGGGCUGAAGACUCUGCUUGACUAGCUGAGAGGAGGUGCAUGGCCGUCGUCAGUUCGUACUGUGAAGCAUCCUGUUAAGUCAGGCAACGAGCGAGACCCACGCCAACAGUUGCCAGCAUGUCCUCCGGGAUGAUGGGGACACUGUUGGGACCGCCUCUGCUAAAGAGGAGGAAGGAAUGGGCAACGGUAGGUCAGCAUGCCCCGAAUUAUCCGGGCUACACGCGGGCUACAAUGGUCAGGACAAUGGGUAUCGACACCGAGAGGUGGAGGCAAUCUCCUAAACCUGUCCUUAGUUCGGAUUGUGGGCUGCAACUCGCCCACAUGAAGCUGGAAUCCGUAGUAAUCGCGUUUCAAAAUAGCGCGGUGAAUAUGUCCCUGCUCCUU